UACAGAGGGUGCGAGCGUUAAUCGGAAUUACUGGGCGUAAAGCGCGCGUAGACGGUUUUGUAAGUCAGAUGUGAAAUCCCUGGGCUCAACCUGGGAACUGCAUUUGAGACUGCAUGGCUAGAGUAUGGAAGAGGGAGGUGGAAUUUCCGGUGUAGCGGUGAAAUGCGUAGAUAUCGGGAGGAACACCUGUGGCGAAGGCGGCCCCCUGGUCGGAUACUGACGCUGAGACGCGAAAGCGUGGGGAGCAAACAGG
Molecule: ribosomal RNA, 253 nt
Filed under: uncultured bacterium
Lineage: Bacteria
Description: partial 16S ribosomal RNA
Rfam family: Bacterial small subunit ribosomal RNA
Source: RNAcentral